This 76-nucleotide transfer RNA is filed under the name Candidatus Altimarinota bacterium. RNAcentral's name for it is "tRNA-Thr". It matches the Rfam family "tRNA". From Rfam's summary of the family: Transfer RNA (tRNA) molecules are approximately 80 nucleotides in length. Lineage: Bacteria; Candidatus Altimarinota. The record is from RNAcentral.
GCCACCAUAGCUCAGUUGGUAGAGCGCAGCCAUGGUAAGGCUGAGGUCUCGGGUUCAAAUCCCGAUGGUGGCUCCA